Molecule: ribosomal RNA, 253 nt
Filed under: uncultured bacterium
Lineage: Bacteria
Description: partial 16S ribosomal RNA
Rfam family: Bacterial small subunit ribosomal RNA
Source: RNAcentral
UACGUAGGGUGCGAGCGUUGUCCGGAAUUAUUGGGCGUAAAGGGCUCGUAGGCGGUCUGUCACGUCGGGAGUGAAAACUCGGGGCUCAACCCCGAGCCUGCUUCCGAUACGGGCAGACUAGAGGUAUGCAGGGGAGAAUGGAAUUCCUGGUGUAGCGGUGAAAUGCGCAGAUAUCAGGAGGAACACCGGUGGCGAAGGCGGUUCUCUGGGCAUUGCCUGACGCUGAGGAGCGAAAGUGUGGGGAGCGAACAGG